Long non-coding RNA from Trifolium pratense (red clover), 646 nucleotides. RefSeq lists it as uncharacterized. Lineage: Eukaryota; Viridiplantae; Streptophyta; Magnoliopsida; Fabales; Fabaceae. The transcript has 3 exons. The record is from RefSeq and is a predicted model, not a curated record.
UUUUCAGCUCCUUUCUAGUUUCUUUUUUCCCUUUUUCCUUUGAAAACUUCUCUACCCCGAUUUGCAAUGGAAUUCAAAAGCAUUAUACAUUUUCUUCAUGGCAAAACAAUUCUAUUAACUGGUGUUACUGGCUUCCUUGGAAAAAAGUAUUAGAGCUGGUCAAUAAAUUGCUAUGCCAAUAUUUUCAAGGGAUGUGCCUCGACCUAAAUCGAAAAAUUAAUAUUGUUAUGCGGCUGGUCGAUCUUUAUCUACCUUACUUGUUCUUCAAUGGCAUAUUUGAUGAUAUGAAUACGCAAAGGUUGCUAUCAGCCGCAAAACAAGAAGAUGUGGAAAUGGAUUUAUUUUACUUUGACUCUCAAAUCAUUGAUUGGGAAGAUUAUUUCAUGAAUAUCCAUAUUCUCGGUAUCUUCAAGUAUGCCUUGAAGUGAUGUGUAUAUGAUCAAACAGUUCACUAUUUGCACCCAUUUUUUUAUCCAAAAAUAAAUGUGUGAUUAUUGUUAACGUAUGUUUUAUUGUAUUAAUGGAUACUCAAACUAGGUAUAAAACGGAGAAAAUUUAGCAAGUGUAUUUUGAUCGAACACAUAGGGAAUCAUUGAAAAUUUUACGCAUUUUAACAUGCGAACGAGUAUAUAUAUAAGACAUAAUA